GAGUUUGUCGGUUGGUCGGGCUUCACUGUUCGCACUGACCUGAUGAAUUCCUACCUUCUGAAUAACCAGCAUGCUAUUAAGUUAGUGCGUUGGGGAAGCAGAGCUAUUACCUUGAGAAAAUUAGAGUGUUCAAAGCAGGCCUAUGCCCGAAUACAUUAGCAUGGAAUAAUAGAAUAGGACGUGCGGUUCUAUUUUGUUGGUUUCUAGGAUCGCCGUA
This 217-nucleotide ribosomal RNA is filed under the name Campeiostachys nutans. RNAcentral describes it as "Elymus nutans partial small subunit ribosomal RNA". The stretch from base 46 to 217 matches the Rfam family "Eukaryotic small subunit ribosomal RNA", at positions 691 to 864 of the family's 1831-position model. The record is from RNAcentral. Lineage: Eukaryota; Viridiplantae; Streptophyta; Magnoliopsida; Poales; Poaceae.